AAGUCGUAACAAGGUUUCCGUAGGUGAACCUGCGGAGAACGUUAAACCCCCCUGUGAACCUUCAUUGUGCUCCCCCAUUCCGUCAGGGACCUCUGCAUGGAGUGGGCUGCAUUCGUAAGAAUGGCGCGAUCGUUAGAGACCGACACGGCCGGUGACCGGGUCACCGGGCUCACGCCCCCCUAUCACCUUUGCAUGAAAACGGGCCUGCGCUUAAUUGUGCGGCCACCAAACUCGAACAACUGUUAACAAUGGAUAUCUUGGUUCUC
This 266-nucleotide unclassified non-coding RNA is filed under the name fungal sp. RNAcentral's name for it is "partial internal transcribed spacer region". Lineage: Eukaryota; Fungi. The record is from RNAcentral.